AGGAAGGCCGGGAUGCCUUCCUUUUCUCUUUCUCUUUUCUUAGAAUGAAGUCAUAAGAAUUCCUAUCAGCAACUCUCUUAGAUCUUGAACUAAACCUGAGAGUGGCAGCUAUGAAUGGUAAACAAUAUGUACAUAUAUACAUGUAUGUAUAUAGACAUGUACAUGUAUAUAUGUGUAUAUCUAUACAUACCCAUAAAUACAUAUGUAUGUGUGUACAGACAUUCACAUACAUAUAUACAUAUACAUCAUAUAAUAUGUAAAUACAUACAUAUACAUACAUACACAUACAUAUAUUACACAUAUACAUACAUAUGUAUGCAUGUAUUUAUGCAUGUGCAUAUCACAUACCUCCCCAUAUACACAUGCACGCACACAUAUAUAUGUAUACAUAUAUAUAUUCCUGCAUUUUAAAUCAUUACAUCUUUAUUAAAGUUACAGAUAGAAUCUUAAAACAUUUUAGGAUUAGAAGACAGAAUUUCUUUCAGCAGUGACAAAUACAUAUAUAACAUAUACAUCACACACAUAUAAGUUUGUGUGUGCGUGUGUGUUUGUGUGUGUGUAUGUGCAUGCAUGUGUGUGUAUGAUUUGUGUUUAUAGCACCUGGAAAGUUUCUUAAGACACAGCUUUCUGGGGUCCCAGACUCAGAAAUUCUGAUCUUUAAUAGCAGGUACAAUGCCUACGAUGUUGUUUUCCUUUCCCAGAUGAUCCUGAAGGUCCUUCAUUAACAAUGUGAUUUCUCUAGGGAAGCACUUUUUCUGAGGCAGGAAAAGCUUGGCACAUGGAAGAAACAGGAGGCAGGGUAGAUUUGGAGAAAGUAAAUGGUCUGAGAUAAGGUUCUCAAGGUAGGCAGGGUGUUGAUCCUACACCAGGUUAUGAGGCAGGAAAAGGAGUGAUUCUCUUCUAAGUGGCUUGGGGCAAGGAACUGACGAGUUUGUAACAUCAUAUUUUACACUGUAGAGGACAGACUAUAUAGGACCAGGACUCUGUUAGUCAGCAUGAGAAAGCCUAGUGGCUUGGUCUGCAGUGGUCACACAGAAAUGGAUCCAAGAUAUAUUUUGAAUAUAGUUUUUGAAGAUAUAUUUUGAGGUCAGAAUAAUAAGGACUUUGGUGAUAGAUUCAAUAGGUAGAAUAAAGAAUGAGGAGGCAUCAGGGAUGAUUCCCAGGUUCCUCUCUUAAACGAAUGGGUGGAAUCUUCCCAAAACAGAGUCAAAAAGAGCACUAGACCACAGCUAGAAUUAGGGAUGGUAAUUCACUAAUCCUGCUUAUGGCAAAUGGCACUUUGUGAAGAAGCCGAUGAAUUGGAUUCCCUUCCCACCCCGACCCUCAGCUAUUUAUUGCAGUUUUUCAAUCAACUUCUGGGAUAUGCCUGCCUUACCACCUUUCCUUCUCAUGCCGGAGUCUCACAUGUGGUUUAGAACUAUUUUGUCUGUUGUUGAGUGGUGAUCUGUGUGUGUGGGAUGGGUAGGGGGGUUUCUCUCUCUCCUUCUUUCUUCUCUUCCUUUUUACUAGUAUGUUGUGAGUCUUCAAUCACAGAACACAAUGACCUCUCAGACCCUCAGCCCUUUGAAGGUAUCCAGUUGUCUUGACCAAGAGGCAAAAAUAGUCCAUUUUCUGCAUGUUUCAGUUCUAAUUUGCUUCAUUAUGGAGUGACUUUCACAAGAAGAUGUUUUUCUUCUUGUCUAUACUCCUGUGUAGGUUGAUGUCAUUAUGCAGGUGAAGGUAGGUACAGGAUAGAACGAGGCCUGUCAUUGGAUGAGAAGGAAGGGGGCUGGGGAGAAAAGUUUUAGAAGAGGAGGAGACUGAGGAAGGUGGAGGGAGCAGCUGCACAUCUACAGGUUGUUAUGGCUAUUCUUAAGGGAUGGGUGUAUACAGGAUUUUGUGUGUCUAGAUGAACAAAAUAUAUCUUCUCUAGGUGGACAAUUAUAUUUGAUCAAUUGGAUCAGAGGUUAUUGUGUUGUGUGUUCUUUCAUGUGGAGAUUUGAGUUCAAGAGAGUCUGUGGUGGCAGGACACUGUGUCUGCCAUGGAAUUGGGAUGUAUAUGUCUAGCAUGGUGGCAACCUGCCUUGGAAACUAGAUGGGUAGAGAGAUUGUUGCCAGGCUCAGAGAGUAGCCAUCCGCAGUGUGAUAUGGGAUGGAGCUUAGCGGGUGAGACACUUUGUUGACUGUGAUGAAAAUAUCCCAUAGAUGCCAUGUGGUCCUACGGUGCUGGCAUUAGUGCAGAAAUAGAAGAAACUUUAUUUUAAUUUUACUGCAAUUUUUUUAAUUGCUCCUAGAGUAACAUCUUUAAUUAAACAAACAAACAAACAAACAAACAAACAAACAACAAAGAGGAAAAGAGGUCUGUAUCAUCUGGUCUCUGCAUCUUCUAGCCAUUCUCUCUCUUUCUUUUCUCUCUGCACUAUCUAUAGUGAUUUUCUCCCUGCUCAUAACCUCAGCUUGCUUUCUCCUUCUUUGGGACCUUUGCAUAAACUAGUCACUACUUGUAGAAAGGUUCUUGGCUGGAUAAUUUUGCCAAGCCCCACUUGCUCAUGACUAUGGCUAAAUGAAUGGUAAUUCCUCAAGGGCAUCUUUGUGUAUAUCCCUAAUACUGUUCUUAUGCCCCCACAUGGGAACAUAUCUUCUUACCAUUAGUAUUAUAAAUGUGGAUUUAAUGCACAUCCUUGAUUUGUUUUUUCUCAUUUAAUUAUCCAUGGCUACUUAUUUAUCAUUUUUCUGCUUUAAUGGAUUAUAAAUGCUAUUCAGGGAAUAUACCUGUAUAAUUCAUGUUGUACACCACUGGUACCUACCCUACAAUCAGGCUUAUGGCAUAAGCUCAUUAAAUAGUCCUUGGAUUUGUGGGGAUGGAGUAAACUCCUGUGAGAGUAAGUAUUCAUGACAUUACUCAGGUAAGGCUUAGGGGAGUGGCAACUCCUUCUCAUACUCAUUCAAGAAUGGAUGUUGAACCCACUUCCACUUUUGUGCUGUAUGUAAUAAAUAUGCUGCGUCUGACCUACUGGAAUAUCUCUCUCCAAGUGCACAAUCCACCUGAUCCCAGAUUUACACUACUUAGGUCUGCCUUUCCUAAUCUCCUUUUACUCCCAGUCAUGUUUCCAGGACUGAGCUGAACGGACUCUCACAUGAAUUCAUGGGUUGAUUUCAAUGUUUUGGGUGUAUUUAAUUUUUUCAUUGCUAGAAGAAGCAUUAUCACAGGCUUUUAAUUGCUCUUAUAUUUGCAGCAUUUUUCAUACACCGAUGUAUUUGGUGGUUGCAUGCUAUACUUGAAGUUUGCUCGUCUGUGGAGUCAACCCAUUGUGGAUCAAAAGUACUCGGGGUACUUUUGUGGAGCUGGGGAUCGAACCCAGGGCCUUGCGCGAGCUAGGCAAGCGCUCUACCACUGAACUAAAUCUCCAACUGUGCAAGUGUAUUAUUUAUGUUUUGUUGCUGUGCCCAGACAGCCAGCAAGAAACAACUUUGGAGAGGGAGUGUUUAUUUUGGCCCACGUGUGAGGCACAGUACAUCACUGUGGGGAAGGCAGGACUGAAGGAGUGUGGGAUGACUGGUCACCUUGUGUCCACAGCUGGAAAGCAGAGAACUGAAUGCUGGUACUGUGUUGGCUCUUCCCAUUUUCAUUCUACACAAGACGCUAGGUUAUAUGCUGGUGCCAUCCACCAUCCAGGGUGGGUCUUUCCUCUUCAGUUAAACUCCUUCGGAAAUGCUCUCAUGGACACACCCUGAGGUGUGUCUUCUAGGGAACUCCAAUCCAGUAAAGUUAAAAAGAAGAUUGAAUGGUGCAAGAAAGUGAUGCUGCAUUUCUGCAGAAGGAUCUUUAGGAGCACAGCAGAAAAGCAGAGUCUUCCAGUUAGAAAAUCAUGAACCCGAGUUUCAAAUCUGUGCCUGAAUGCUUCAUCAGUUGUGCUCUGACUGAUUUAAACCACUCAGUCUAGUGUCCGUCUCCUACAACACACGUUCCAGUGAUUCCAAGUCCAUUCCCUAGAGAUAAAAGUACUAGAGAUGACCAACUUACAAAUAGCAUGGAUUGAUUUUGCUUCACAGUUUUGGAUGCUUCUGCCCAUGGUCACUUGACCCUGCUGCUUUUAGGUCUGAGACAAGAAAAGUCACUAAUAAGCAUAUAUUAAAGCAACCCAAGUGCCUUAUAGGCAGGAACAAAACGGAUACAGGAAAAGACCAAUUUACACUCUCCUUGGAAGGUGCACCACCAAUGACUUAAAUACUACCAUUAGGCUCCUCCUCUUAAAGUUUCUACCACCUUCUAGGGUGCCAAGCUGAGGACCUAUGUUAUUAUAUGCAACUUUUGGGCACACUAUUGAUCUAACCACCGUAAAUAGAGAACAGAGAUCUAACCAUUGACAAUAUGACUUGAAAGAGCUGGGUGUCAGAUAAAACACCAAGUGAAACCUGACUCUGGCAUAGAACUGUGGUCCAUUUUAUUGUUGUUUAAAAGCUUUCGGGGCAUGGGGAGGGCUGGAGUGAUGGCUCAUCAGCUAAGCAGCUGCUCUUCCAGAAGACCCAAGUUCCGCUCCCAGAACCUACAUUGGACAGCUCACCAUCACCUGUAAUUUCAGUUUUAAGAAUUACAACACCCUCUUAUGGUCUCAAAUUCCUACCCACAAGCAUGUGGCAUAUUUAUAGAGAUAUACACACAGAGAUGAAAAUAAAUGAAUAAAAAGCUGUUUAUAUUUUUGAUGUAGAAAAACUCACAUACACAGCAAGGUUAGAACAGGAACAUGACACGGGUAUAUUUAUAGUCACUUAACACUGUCACAUGUCCUAUGGAUCACUCCUGACUGAUCAAACUGACCACUCAUUUCUAAAUGCUGCAUUAAGUACUUCCAAAAGAUAAACAGACAGGGGCUGAGUUUGCCCAUUAUACAAAUUCACAUCACCAGUAUCUCAUCUGAAGACAAUGUCCUAUUUCACGCUACUAUUUCAGAGAGUAGAUUUGAGGAGAAGCUUGCAAGAGCUACAUGCUGGAGCCGGAAAGAUGGCUUAGCCGUUAAAGGCUAGGCUCAGAACCAAAAAGAUAUGAGAUACAUUCUGAUAAGAACUGAGUGAAAAGCAAGGGGCCAAAUCAAAAGAAACCAGACACUGGAAUAGUAGACAUUGUGUGGGGCAGUGUGUGUGGGGGAGGGUAUCGAACACGCACAUAUGGGUGUGUGCAUGUGUGUGCACAAGUGUGAGUGCCUGUGUGCAUGUGCAUACUCGUGCAUGUGCACAUUUAAUUGAAUAAAUAGAUUAAGUUUAGCAGGAGUCAGGUCUGUUUGGUGUAUAUCUGUGAUCUUAGCACACAGGAGGCAGAAGUAAGAUCAUGAGUCCCAGGCCUGACAAAGUAUCUGCCUCAAAACCAACAAAAAUUUAAUUUGCUGUAGGGAGAAAGGGAUUCUUCACAAUAAUUUCUGGUUGUUUCCUAUAAAAUAGUAAGUUGGCAGAAGAGAUUUCUAAGAAAAAAAAAUCCUGUGCUUUGGGCCAAAGAAAUGCUGGGCCUUUUCUUUCUUAGUUAACAGGGUGAAUCCAUGAGGGAGUGAACCUGUUCAUGUUGUACAUUAUAAACACAGCCACCAACAAACGGUUUAACCUAUACUAGGACUUGGCCAACUUUGGGCUCCCUUGAAUUUCUUCAUGGAGUUGCUGAAUUCACUUAGUGUUUGUUGAGGCUCAGCCUGGCUGGCCUAUCGUAUGGCUUGCCAGACCCCAGAGUCCAGAGCCUAGAAAUGUUAUUUCUCUUUUGAAAGAGCCUCUCUACUAAAGUGUUUUUGAAUGAAGAGACCAAAACACUUUCAAAACCAUCGAAUGAGCUCACAGCACUCUGCUGAGUACCUCUGUGCUGGCUUGUUCCUUCCCUGGGUACAGCUCCCACAGACAGACAGCGGAACAGCAUGAAUGCCUCUUUGCUUCAGCUUGCAGCCCAACGGCCAUCUGCAGGCAGGCCUGUGCCAACCGCUCCCCUGCCCAUUUGAAAUUUAAAUCCUUCAAAUAAGUCUCAGUGUCACCUUUGUCCAGACGCCUCAAAAGCCCAGGCUCAUGUCUGUCUGCUUGAAAUGAUAAAGACCCACAUGACUGUGUAGGAAGAUAAACUGGGGCGAAAUAAAAUCCAGGGUGGUAGUUAAAUAAAUCCAGAGAAACCAAGACACUUGCUACAAAGCUGAGAUCCUGUCCUCACCUCACCUCGCAGGGAGACGUGAAGGCUCGGGAACAGAAGCUACUUGCUGGGAGCCAACACCCAACAGUCAAUGUCUUGGAUGUAUUUUGCUAUUUGUACUUAAAAGCAAUGUAACUUCAUUAAUUUGUAGGCUUUAAUCUACCCAGUGCUCUAGGAAUUUGGAAAAGUGCAUCUAAAGGUAAAGCUGUUUGGGUGGCGGGCAGGGGUGGGGGAGUGGGAGGUGGGGUUGGGCUUGCGUAUGCACACACGCACACUAGAAUGGGGGUGUUGGAUCUCUUCUGUGAUCACUUUCUACUUUAUUUUGUUUUUCCUUGUAUCUGAGGUAAAGUCUCUCACUGAGCCCCAAGCUCAUCAAUUUGGCCCAACUGACUAGCCAGCAGGCCCCAGAGAUUAUCUUAUCUCUGCCUUCCCCAUGCUAGGAGUACAGACAUGUGUCUCUGUCUGGAUUUUUUUAUAGCGUUCUGUGGGAUCCCACUCAGGUCUUCACAUGCAAGUACUAAGCACUUCACUGACUGAACCAUCACUCCUAUUCAAGCCUAGGGGGUUUUAACUAACAUGAGAACCGUGGGUUCAUUUUCCAGUCCAGCAACUUAUUGGUUAUAUGGCCUUGGUCUUGGCAAACUCCCUAAGCAUCUUGGCGCUGCGUUUUCCAACUCCGUGAAAUGGGAGCGUAGCUGUGGACUACAGAAUGGUUAUAUGGAAGAUGCUGAAUAUUUUAAAGAUACUGUAUAAUAGAAGCUUUAAAAGGAAGAAAUAACUCGGAGGAGCAAUGUAGCUACAUUUGAUAACUGAGGAGAAGCCUGCUUGAUAUCAGUGACUUAAAUGGAUUUAAGAUGUUUUCCUUGGUGCCAAAAACUCGUAGGGGAUGAAUUGAGAAUGAAUGAUGUCGGACAAGAAGAAACACGGAAACAAAGCAACCAAGCGAUAUUAGAUCAAACCAUGUGUCCUUAAGCAAGGGUAAGCUUCAUAUGAUGACUUUUUUCCCUUCGUUAAUAAAAUGGGGACAGCAAUCAGACCUACCUCAGAGACAUCUUGUGAAAACUUGGAGAUCUGAUGGGUAUAGCAUUUGGCCUAGUGUCUGGCACACAGGGAGUUCCAUAAAUUUUAUUUCUCUUUCAAAGUGACAAUUUAAAUGUCACUUCCUCAAUAAAGAUAGUAAAAUCCUGA
Molecule: long non-coding RNA, 7324 nt
Organism: Rattus norvegicus (Norway rat)
Lineage: Eukaryota; Metazoa; Chordata; Mammalia; Rodentia; Muridae
Source: RefSeq, a predicted model, not a curated record